RNAcentral lists this ribosomal RNA (438 nucleotides) under uncultured bacterium. Its description in RNAcentral is "partial 16S ribosomal RNA". It matches the Rfam family "Bacterial small subunit ribosomal RNA", at positions 339 to 795 of the family's 1533-position model. The record is from RNAcentral.
CUACGGGCGCUGCAGUAAGGAAUAUUGCACAAUGGGGGGAACCCUGAUGCAGCAACGCCGCGUGGAGGAUGACGCAUUUCGGUGUGUAAACUCCUUUUAUAUGUCAAGAAAAUGACGGUAGCAUAUGAAUAAGCACCGGCUAACUCCGUGCCAGCAGCCGCGGUAAUACGGAGGGUGCAAGCGUUACUCGGAAUCACUGGGCGUAAAGGACGCGUAGGCGGGUUGGAAAGUCAGGUGUGAAAUCCUACAGCUUAACUGUAGAACUGCACUUGAAACUUCUAAUCUAGAGUAUGGGAGGGGGAGAUGGAAUUAGUGGUGUAGGGGUAAGAUCCGUAGAUAUCACUAGGAAUACCUAAAGCGAAGGCGAUCUCCUGGAACAUUACUGACGCUAAGGCGUGAAAGCGUGGGGAGCAAACAGGAUUAGAUACCCCCGUAGUC